RNA transcript from Tachysurus fulvidraco (yellow catfish), 5033 nucleotides. It is a transcript of the gene named ATPase cation transporting 13A2, with no coding region annotated. The transcript has 29 exons. The record is from RefSeq and is a predicted model, not a curated record. NCBI's taxonomy places the organism in Eukaryota, Metazoa, Chordata, Actinopteri, Siluriformes, Bagridae.
AAGAAGAAGAUGAGUAAACCUCGUCACAUGCUAAGAAACCUAGAUCUACCAAAAGCAAAGCAGAUAACAGACAGUGUUCAGGGUGAGUGGUGGAGCAAAACAGCUGGGGAAUAAAACAAAAUGGAUUUAAGGUGAUUACUUCUGUUGGGAAAUGGACACAUCAGGGAGCUGCUACACGCAGAAGAGUGGAUUUCUCCACACAGAUCCGGCGUCCAGAUUUCUGGAUUCUGGAACUACAGACAUCCACUCUGUCUGUCACAUGGAUGUGCAGGGUUAUAGACGAGUGUGCUGGAAGGUGUGGCUCUGCCACUUUGGAGCCUUCAUUUCCUUGGGUACGCUGCUGUUGUUGUUCAAGUGGCGACCCCGCCUCGGCGUCCUGGCUCGUUGUUCUUCCUGCCCCGUUCCAUGGGCAGAUAUCUUACUACUGAGGGAUAGUUACGGGCAGAGUUUUGUCAUAGAGGUACAAACAGAAGAGAUUGAAGAGGGGAGUUUAGGCUUCACAGGAGGAGAGCUGGAUGAGAAUGAGAGCAGAGACGAUAUCCAGCUGCAAAAAGAUGAGAAAACCCUACUGCGAUACUAUGUGUUUGAGGGCAUGCGGUAUGUGUGGCUGCCCAAAAAAGGGGCUUUCUGCAAAGUUAGUAUUCUUAGUGAUGGUUGGACUUGUGCUGAUCUGCACCACAGACAGGAAGGACUUAGUCAAAUGGAACAAAUUUCAAGGAGACAGAUUUUUGGGGACAAUAUCAUUGAUGUACCUGUGAAGUCUUAUUUGCAGUUGCUGAUUGAAGAGGUCCUCAACCCCUUCUACAUAUUUCAAGUCUUUAGCAUUAUCCUGUGGAUGUCAGAUAAAUACUACUUUUAUGCUGUUUGCAUCUUUAUAAUAUCUUUCUUAUCCAUCGCUGUAUCCUUGUACGAGAUCCGGAAGCAAAGCAACACUCUGCACCACAUGGCCCAGCUCAUAGUGAACGUCACUGUACGCAAAGCCACUGGAGAGGAGGAGUGCGUGAGUUCGGUUGAACUAGUGCCAGGAGACUGUGUGCUGAUUCCUGCUGAAGGUCUGCACCUACCAUGCGAUGCUGCCCUGCUGGCCGGGGAGUGUUUGGUGAAUGAGAGCAUGUUGACUGGUGAGAGCGUACCUGUGAUGAAGACCCCAUUGCCAGUCUCAGAAGUGAAGUACAGUCCCGAAUCUCAGCGAAGACACACACUUUUCUGUGGUACCCAGAUCAUCCAAGCCAAAGGGGGUUGCCCAAGCGGGAAGGGGGCCGUAGCUGUAGUUACACAGACGGGCUUUUUCACCGCUAAAGGUGACCUCAUCAGCUCUAUUCUCUACCCACAGCCAGUUAACUUCCGUUUCUAUGCAGAUGCCAUGAAAUUUCUACUUUUCUUAGGAGUUCUGGCACUGAUUGGCACAAUAUACAGUAUAGUGGUACUUUACCGGAGCAAUGCGACAUGGGGGGAGAUCGUGAUCCGUUCUCUGGACAUUAUCACCAUUAUUGUACCUCCAGCUCUCCCUGCUGCUUUAACAACAGGCACGAUUUAUGCCCAGCAGCGCCUCAAGAAAAACGGUGUGUUCUGCAUAAGUCCACCUCGCAUCAAUGUCUGUGGAAAGAUUUCUCUCUUCUGCUUUGACAAGACAGGCACUCUGACUGAGGAGGGUCUGGAUGUGUGGGGGGUGAAGGAGGCUAGCAGAAAUGGUACAGGGUUUCAUGAGCUGGUACCUGACCCCUGUCUUCUCUCACCGGGACCCAUGCUGUGGGCCUUGGCUUCCUGCCAUUCAGUAGCUUUGCUUGGUGAUCAACCCAUUGGAGACCCACUGGAACUAAAAAUGAUUGAGUCUACAGGCUGGAAACUGGAGGAGCUGACUAACGAAACGGAAAGUCUUGAGUUUGGAAGUCAUCGGAUCCUCGCAUUGAUGAAGCCACCUACUUUAGAGUCUGAAGGCAUAGCUGCUAGUCAGUCGGUAGCAAUAGUGCGCCGUUUCCCUUUUUCUUCCACUCUACAGAGGAUGAGUGUGGUGGCGGUGGUCUCGGGGGGAGGCUCGGCUUACAGCUUUCUCAAAGGGGCACCUGAGAUGGUGGCCAGUUACUGUGUAAGGGUACCUUCUCAGUUUACCAACACACUACGGGAGUUCGCCAGUGAGGGUUUCAGGGUCCUAGCCCUUGCCUACAAGGAGGUUGAUGUGCAUACAGACCUCAGCAGUAUUGAAAGGGUAGAGGUGGAAAAAGACUUGCAGUUCCUGGGGCUGUUAGUAAUGAAGAACAAGGUGAAGCCUGAAAGUGCAGGAGUCAUUAACAUUUUGAGACAAGCACUAAUCCGCCCUGUCAUGGUCACUGGCGAUAACAUUCUUACAGCCCUGAAUGUAGCCCGAGCAUGUGGAAUGAUGUCCUCACACGAGCAGGUUGUUUUUGUUCAUGCGUCUCCCCCUACUGCCAACUCAAUGGCAGUGUUACGAUUUCAUCAAGGUGAUGGUUCGCCUGCUGUCGUCAGCACUCAAGAGACCAUGAAUAUUCUGGAACAGGGCUUGUACCAGAACAGUAUUAAGUAUCAACUGGCUAUAAAUGGAAAGUCGUUUGCAGCUCUGUGCGAUUAUUUUCCAGAACAACUACCUAAGGUUCUGAUGAAAGGAACAGUGUAUGCUCGGAUGUCUCCAGACCAAAAAACUCAGCUGGUUAAAGCUCUACAGAAACUGAAUUACAGGGUGGGCAUGUGUGGGGACGGAGCUAACGACUGUGGUGCGUUGAGGGCUGCUGAUGUUGGAGUCUCUCUGUCUGAGGCUGAGGCUUCUGUUGCUUCACCCUUUACCUCCAAAUCUGACAACAUCAGCUGUGUGCCUUUGCUGAUCAGAGAAGGAAGAUGCUCGCUGGUGACGUCUUUCAGUCUUUUCAAAUAUAUGGCAUUGUACAGUCUGAUCCAGUUUUCCUCUGUACUCAUCCUCUACACCGUGAAAACAAACUUGGGAGAUUUGCAGUUCCUCUACUUUGACUUGGCCUUGGUGACGGUGCUCGCUAUAGUGAUGGGUCGAGGUGGCCCUAGCGAUAAGCUUCACCCCAAGCGCCCCCCCGCCAGCCUCCUAACUCUGCCUGUUCUAUCCUCUUUACUCCUCCACACAUUACUGCUCAUUCUGUGCCAGGUGGCUGCUCUGUUCAUCACUAAAUCACAGGAAUGGUACAUUCCUCUCAAUUCCACUGUGGUUGGAGCAGAAAAUUUGCCAAACAUGGAGAACACGAGUGUGUUUACUCUCUCGGGGUUCCAGUACAUCAUCAUGUGUAUAGUUGUGACAAAAGGCUACCCUUACAAGAAACAGCUUUACAAAAAUGCCACCAGGCUCAAGAUUGUCCUGCAAAUGAGGGACUGUAAAUAACUGAAGGUAAUGGAUAAAAUAAAAUCCUUCUGUUGUGCUUCUGUUAACGCGAGCCCAUUUCCUGCACAAGGCUAGAUCACACUGAUUCAUGACAGUCAUUUUCUGUAAUUAUAGCUCUAUCUUUAAGUAUCUUCAGCAUUUAAACACCUUGUCAGUAUGUUUUAGUCUUCUGCCGGCUUAUAACACAAAUUUUUUAAACUGUAUUUUCUACAUAUUGCACGAGUUUCUGCGUUUUAACCUUUUUUUUUCUCUGUUUUCUGUCGUUCCUUGUAGUUGUUUUUCUAUUUGUUCUUCUGGUCCUGUUUGCGGCCACGAUUUUGCUCGUUCUGGUCCCCGAUAACUUUAUUCACAAAGUAAUGCAGCUGUAUAACAUUAACGACAUGAACUACAAGCUGCUGCUGCUGGCACUCGCUGCACUCAACUUCUUCACAUGCUACUUGCUAGAGGUUCUUAUUGACACAUUUGUUCCAAACUGCCUCCGUACCCUUCGUGGAAAGCGUGAGUCUAAAAAGCAGUACAAGCGUUUGGAUGCCCAGCUAGCAGAAACUCCAUCAUGGCCACCGCUGGAUCAGCUGCUUUACCCUUCACAGUGUACUGUAAUCGGAGUUAGCUAGCAUAACCCUCCUGGAGCAACAAUCAUUUAAAUAGUUUUUUUUUCCAUAGCUAAAAGUGCCACUAAUCGACUACCUCCUACUGCAUAGAUAGUGAAGUCAUAAUUAAAUACUUGAUGAAAUUCUCAUGUUUUGGUCAGCUGUCGGUAAAACGUAUGCCACCAUCCUAGUCCCCUAGAAGACUUUUUUCGUGAAGAAAUGAACAUGUUCCUGAGACUUUUCGCUACUUACAGCACCCCUCUUACUGUCUUCAAACAAGCUACAAUUCUCUUACCUUCUCCCUGACUGUCUCCUUUCCAGACCUUCACCUUGCCAUUAGGCAGUAACCUCCAACGCAUUAGGGAAUACCAUAUGGCACGGAAAUGUAACCAUGGACGCUUCAGACACUCAAUGACCGCAGACGUGAGGGGCUACUAGGAUGGAUGAGAAGAAAUUCUCAAGAUGACCAAAAUGGAAGACUUCUCACAAAUCCAUUUAAGAGGAUAAUGACCGUAUAAAUAUCAUACAUCAAAUAAUACAAUACAUUGUGUGUAGUAGGUCAUUUGGGAUGGAGCUACUGACUACAUCAUUAAAUAGUUGCAGCACUAAAGGUUUAUAGAUAAAAAAUAUAGGAUUAAAUGAAGCAUUGAAUCAGAUGCCAGAAUGUGUUGUGCACUGCAAUGGCAUCCAGUCGUGUUAAUGGGAAAUGCGCUCAUUAUGAAAAUUGAGAUGAUCUACCGCCUAUUAUAUACGGCACUGUUACCAUAAAAACAAUGUGUAUAUGUAUGUGUGUGUGUAUGUAUAUAUAUACAUACACACACACAUACAAAUGAAAUGAAGUGACCUGACAUACACCUAAGUAGACCCAUAUUCAGAAUUUGUUCUCUGCAUUUAACCCAUCCAAAGUGCACGCACACCGCAGUGAACACACACCCACCAUGAACACACACCCAGAGCAGUGGGCAGUCAUUUGUGCCAUUCGUGGUGAGCCAUUUGGGAGCAGUUGGGGGUUCGGUACACACACAAACACACAAAUAUACACAAGACUCUCAUUUGUAAUGUAAUAAAAGCACUUUAAAAAUGUU